This 1349-nucleotide ribosomal RNA is filed under the name uncultured bacterium. Its description in RNAcentral is "bacterial SSU rRNA". It matches the Rfam family "Bacterial small subunit ribosomal RNA", at positions 28 to 1381 of the family's 1533-position model. The record is from RNAcentral.
GACGAGCGCUGGCGGCGUGCUUAACACAUGCGAGUCGAACGAUGAAGCCUAGCUUGCUAGGUGGAUUAGUGGCGAACGGGUGAGUAAUACGUGAGUAACCUACCUUUAACUCUGGGAUAAGCCUGGGAAACUGGGUCUAAUACCGGAUACGACCAAUCUCCGCAUGGGGUGUUGGUGGAAAGCGUUAUGUAGUGGUUAUAGAUGGGCUCACGGCCUAUCAGCUUGUUGGUGAGGUAACGGCUCACCAAGGCGACGACGGGUAGCCGGCCUGAGAGGGUGACCGGCCACACUGGGACUGAGACACGGCCCAGACUCCUACGGGAGGCAGCAGUGGGGAAUAUUGCACAACGGGCGCAAGCCUGAUGCAGCGACGCCGCGUGAGGGAUGACGGCCCUCGGGUUGUAAACCUCUGUUAGCAGGGAAGAAGAGAGAUUGACGGUACCUGCAGAGAAAGCGCCGGCUAACUACGUGCCAGCAGCCGCGGUAAUACGUAGGGCGCGAGCGUUGUCCGGAAUUAUUGGGCGUAAAGAGCUUGUAGGGCGGUUUGUCGCGUCUGCUGUGAAAGGCCGGAGCUUAACUCCGUGUAUUGCAGUGGGUACGGGCAGACUAGAGUGCAGUAGGGGAGACUGGAAUUCCUGGUGUAGCGGUGGAAUGCGCAGAUAUCAGGAGGAACACCGAUGGCGAAGGCAGGUCUCUGGGCUGUAACUGACGCUGAGAAGCGAAAGCAUGGGGAGCGAACAGGAUUAGAUACCCUGGUAGUCCAUGCCGUAAACGUUGGGCACUAGGUGUGGGGGACAUUCCACGUUUUCCGCGCCGUAGCUAACGCAUUAAGUGCCCCGCCUGGGGAGUACGGCCGCAAGGCUAAAACUCAAAGAAAUUGACGGGGGCCCGCACAAGCGGCGGAGCAUGCGGAUUAAUUCGAUGCAACGCGAAGAGCCUUACCAAGGCUUGACAUAUACUGGACUGCAUCAGAGAUGGUGUUUCCCUUCGGGGCUGGUAUACAGGUGGUGCAUGGUUGUCGUCAGCUCGUGUCGUGAGAUGUUGGGUUAAGUCCCGCAACGAGCGCAACCCUCGUUCUAUGUUGCCAGCACGUUAUGGUGGGGACUCAUAGGAGACUGCCGGGGUCAACUCGGAGGAAGGUGGGGAUGACGUCAAAUCAUCAUGCCCCUUAUGUCUUGGGCUUCACGCAUGCUACAAUGGCCGGUACAGAGGGUUGCGAUACUGCGAGGUGGAGCUAAUCCCUAAAAGCCGGUCUCAGUUCGGAUUGGGGUCUGCAACUCGACCCCAUGAAGUCGGAGUCGCUAGUAAUCGCAGAUCAGCAACGCUGCGGUGAAUACGUUCCCGGGCCU